AGCGAACGUUAGCGGCAGGCUUAACACAUGCAAGUCGAGCGAGAAAGGGGCUUCGGCCCUGAGUAAAGCGGCGGACGGGUGCGUAACACGUGGAUAAUCUGCCCUUCAGUGGGGAAUAACGUUCCGAAAGGAACGCUAAUGCCGCAUGUCACAACGAGACCCCCGGGUCACGUUGGAAAAGGGGACGCCCGCAAGGGGUUCUCGCUGGAGGAUGAGUCCGCGGCCCAUCAGCUUGUUGGCGGGGUAAUGGCCCACCAAGGCUUAGACGGG
This 270-nucleotide ribosomal RNA is filed under the name uncultured bacterium. Its description in RNAcentral is "partial 16S ribosomal RNA". It matches the Rfam family "Bacterial small subunit ribosomal RNA", at positions 29 to 283 of the family's 1533-position model. The record is from RNAcentral.